CAAUUUUGCUUCCUUCAUCUUGAUAAGAAGGCAGCAAAUCAAAUUAGAACGGAUGAACAAAUCAUUAUGCCCCAAGGAUGCAUUGAAAGUUUUCUAGAUCUUGCACUAAAAUGAAAAGUGCUGUGAUUUUUAAUACUGUGCAAUUGGCUAAUUCCGUUGGUGGAUGUUUUCCUGCUGUGAGCACAUCUGCCUCCGGAGACUGUCUCCUCUCCAGUGAUGACUGACAGCCUCGUUCUCCAGACCAGACUGAGUGCAACUUCAAGAAGCCAGAAGUCACAACCUUCCCAGCCCGCGUCUACACCUGAUCCUGCCUGUGAGUGAGUGUUUUGUACCUCUCACCCAACGACACGUGUCCACUGCAAAGGCUGCAAAUCUUGCUCCACAAAUACUGAAUUUCAUGAGGUUAAUCAAAAUGACGUCGGAGGACUUCUGCAGUAACAGGAAGGACUACAAAGUCCCAGCUCCCACAGCCACUUCAGGCUGAAGAGGGAAGAUGUGGAACGCCUGCCAUACUCUGCUGGAGACACAUGAAUUAUGCCACGACUGUGAUCUAAUGUGAAGAAGCUCAAAUUCACCUCCCAAAUGUAUGAGACCCCUGCUUCACACAUCAGAGGAGCCUUCUGCAGUGAGCCCCUGCCAGGAAUGGAGUGAGCGAGCAGUGGGAGGUCUGUUUGCCAAUAUACAACUGGAAAUCCAAAGGCCAGAGGCAGUGGGUGUCCUUGCUCUAGUUCCCUGGGGCACCGCUAUCAGCCCUUGGGAAGAACUUCAGUUGUGUACAGGACUAAGGGGGAGGGGAGCGGCUCAUGCAGGGAAGCUUGAUCAAAUCACAGGAAACAAGAAAUCAUGAAUUUGGCUCCUUAAUUUUGCCAACUCAUUUGGAGGGCGAUGUUCAUCAACAUUAAGGCUGCUUUAAAAGGAAGUAAAUUAUUAGACUUACUAUC
Molecule: long non-coding RNA, 941 nt
Organism: Ailuropoda melanoleuca (giant panda)
Lineage: Eukaryota; Metazoa; Chordata; Mammalia; Carnivora; Ursidae
Exons: 3
Source: RefSeq, a predicted model, not a curated record